This 619-nucleotide ribosomal RNA is filed under the name uncultured Lachnospiraceae bacterium. RNAcentral's name for it is "bacterial SSU rRNA". It matches the Rfam family "Bacterial small subunit ribosomal RNA", at positions 137 to 774 of the family's 1533-position model. Lineage: Bacteria; Bacillati; Bacillota; Clostridia; Lachnospirales; Lachnospiraceae. The record is from RNAcentral.
AGGGGGAUAACAGUCAGAAAUGACUGCUAAUACCGCAUAAGACCACAGCACCGCAUGGUGCAGGGGUAAAAACUCCGGUGGUACAGGAUGGACCCGCGUCUGAUUAGCUGGUUGGUGAGGUAACGGCUCACCAAGGCGACGAUCAGUAGCCGGCUUGAGAGAGUGAACGGCCACAUUGGGACUGAGACACGGCCCAAACUCCUACGGGAGGCAGCAGUGGGGAAUAUUGCACAAUGGGGGAAACCCUGAUGCAGCUACGCCGCGUGAGUGAAGAAGUAUCUCGGUAUGUAAAGCUCUAUCAGCAGGGAAGAAAAUGACGGUACCUGACUAAGAAGCCCCGGCUAACUACGUGCCAGCAGCCGCGGUAAUACGUAGGGGGCAAGCGUUAUCCGGAAUCACUGGGUGUAAAGGGUGCGUAGGUGGUAUGGCAAGUCAGAAGUGAAAACCCAGGGCUUAACUCUGGGACUGCUUUUGAAACUGUCAGACUGGAGUGCAGGAGAGGUAAGCGGAAUUCCUAGUGUAGCGGUGAAAUGCGUAGAUAUUAGGAGGAACAUCAGUGGCGAAGGCGGCUUACUGGACUGAAACUGACACUGAGGCACGAAAGCGUGGGGAGCAAACA